This 406-nucleotide ribosomal RNA is filed under the name uncultured bacterium. RNAcentral's name for it is "partial 16S ribosomal RNA". It matches the Rfam family "Bacterial small subunit ribosomal RNA", at positions 30 to 526 of the family's 1533-position model. The record is from RNAcentral.
AUUGAACGCUGGCGGCAGGCCUAACACAUGCAAGUCGAACGAGUGGCGGACGGGUGAGUAAUGUCUGGGAAACUGCCCGAUGGAGGGGGAUAACUCCUGGAAACGGUAGCUAAUACCGCAUACCAUCGGAUGUGCCCAGAUGGGAUUAGCUAGUAGGUGGGGUAACGGCUCACCGAGGCGACGUUCCCUAGCAGGACUGAGAGGAUGACCAGCCACACUGGAACGGGGACACGGUCCAGACUCCUACGGGAGGCAGCAGUGGGGAAUAUUGCACAAUGGGCGCAAGCCUGAUGCAGCCAUGCCGCGUGUAUGAAGAAGGCUUUCGGGUUGUAAAGUACUUUCAGCGAGGAGGCGGUACUCGCAGAAGAAGCACCGGCUAACUCCGUGCCAGCAGCCGCGGUAAUUC